AUUUAAAUAGUUUAAUAAAAAUAUUGAUUUGUGGUGUCAAUGAUAAGAGUUUAUAUCUUUUUAAAUC
This 67-nucleotide transfer RNA is filed under the name Botanophila fugax. RNAcentral's name for it is "tRNA-His". The record is from RNAcentral. Lineage: Eukaryota; Metazoa; Arthropoda; Insecta; Diptera; Anthomyiidae.